UAGAGUUUGAUCAUGGCUCAGAUUGAACGCUGGCGGCAGGCCUAACACAUGCAAGUCGAGCGGAAACGAGUUAUCUGAACCUUCGGGGGACGAUAACGGCGUCGAGCGGCGGACGGGUGAGUAAUGCCUAGGAAAUUGCCCUGAUGUGGGGGAUAACCAUUGGAAACGAUGGCUAAUACCGCAUGAUGCCUACGGGCCAAAGAGGGGGACCUUCGGGCCUCUCGCGUCAGGAUAUGCCUAGGUGGGAUUAGCUAGUUGGUGAGGUAAGGGCUCACCAAGGCGACGAUCCCUAGCUGGUCUGAGAGGAUGAUCAGCCACACUGGAACUGAGACACGGUCCAGACUCCUACGGGAGGCAGCAGUGGGGAAUAUUGCACAAUGGGCGCAAGCCUGAUGCAGCCAUGCCGCGUGUGUGAAGAAGGCCUUCGGGUUGUAAAGCACUUUCAGUCGUGAGGAAGGUGGUAGUGUUAAUAGCACUAUCAUUUGACGUUAGCGACAGAAGAAGCACCGGCUAACUCCGUGCCAGCAGCCGCGGUAAUACGGAGGGUGCGAGCGUUAAUCGGAAUUACUGGGCGUAAAGCGCAUGCAGGUGGUUUGUUAAGUCAGAUGUGAAAGCCCGGGGCUCAACCUCGGAAUAGCAUUUGAAACUGGCAGACUAGAGUACUGUAGAGGGGGGUAGAAUUUCAGGUGUAGCGGUGAAAUGCGUAGAGAUCUGAAGGAAUACCGGUGGCGAAGGCGGCCCCCUGGACAGAUACUGACACUCAGAUGCGAAAGC
RNAcentral lists this ribosomal RNA (774 nucleotides) under uncultured bacterium. Its description in RNAcentral is "bacterial SSU rRNA". It matches the Rfam family "Bacterial small subunit ribosomal RNA", at positions 1 to 760 of the family's 1533-position model. The record is from RNAcentral.